Molecule: long non-coding RNA, 1257 nt
Filed under: Piliocolobus tephrosceles (Ugandan red Colobus)
Lineage: Eukaryota; Metazoa; Chordata; Mammalia; Primates; Cercopithecidae
Description: lncRNA (ENSPTEG00000011087.1)
Source: RNAcentral
AUAAUAGUAACAAUAAUAUUAGCGAUAGUAGUAACAAUAAUAUUAGCGAUAAUAGUAACAAUAAUAUUAGCGAUAGUAGUAACAAUAAUAUUAGCGAUAAUAGUAACAAUAAUAUUAGCGAUAAUAGUAACAAAAAUUGUAUGGUAAUAAAAAAAAAUAAUAAAUCGGAUAUAACUAACUUAAAAACAAAGGAAAAUACAAAAAUAAAAAAUGUGAACAUAUAUUUACAUGAAUUUGAUUAUAGUAGUGACAGUACCCAUUCUUCUUAUAUUAACAAAAAUGUUAAACAAAAUAAAAAAUUGCCUGAACAAAGUAUUAAAUACAAAAAUGGUAGUAAUCUUAACGAAUCAAUACAUUUAAGUCAAACAAAAAAAAAGAAAUGCUUAAGUAAUUUAAGUGACCUAAGUGAUUUAAGUAACUUAAGUGAACAUAGUAAUAUAAAAAGUCAAUCGUUUUUAAUCUUAAAAAAUUCGAAGAUAUCUACUAAAUCAAAUUUGGAAGAGCUUAAUUCGAAUAAGAUAGAAAUAACAAAUAAGUCUCAAAUUUUAUCAAUGUAUAAUAAUGUAAACAAUGUAAGUAACAACAUUUUAACGACUAAAAUUGGUGGAGUAAUGAACCAUAAGAAUAAUCUUAUAACUACCCUCGGAGAAGAUACUAAAAAAGCAGUCGAACAAAUUAAUACUUAUGAACUUGUAGGAAAAAGUGAAAAUUUAUCUACUAUGCUUAAAAACAGCGAAACGAAUAAAACUGAAGAAAUUGAACAUAGUGACAAUGGGGAAAGUGAAAAAAGUAGGAAUGAAAAGAGUAGGAAUGAAAAGAGUAGGAAUGAAAAGAGUAGGAAUGAAGAAAGUAGGAAUGAAGAAAGUAGGAAUGAAGAAAGUAGGAAUGAAGAAAGUAGGAAUGAAGAAAGUAGGAAUGAAGAAAGUAAGAAUGAAGAAAGUAAGAAUGAAGAGAGUGAAAAUGAAGAAAGUAAUCAGAGUAAGAAUAAAGAAAUAAAAAAAAAUGUGAGGUUUUUUUUUAAAAAUGAAACAAAUGAAGAUAUAACUGAGAAAAAACAAAAAUUUUUUAUGAGUGGCGAUGUACAAAAAAAGGAAAGACCUGAAUCAGCAGAAGAAACAAAGGAAGUGGAAAAAACAAAGGAAGUGGAAAAAACAAAGGAAGUGGAAAAAACAAAGGAAGUGGAAAAAACAAAGGAAGCGGAAAAAAUAAAAAAAGCGGAAGAAAUAAAAAAAGCGGAAGAAAUAAAAGAAGCGGAAG